GUGGGGAAUAUUGGACAAUGGGCGAAAGCCUGAUCCAGCCAUGCCGCGUGUGUGAAGAAGGUCUUCGGAUUGUAAAGCACUUUAAGUUGGGAGGAAGGGCAGUAAGUUAAUACCUUGCUGUUUUGACGUUACCGACAGAAUAAGCACCGGCUAACUUCGUGCCAGCAGCCGCGGUAAUACGAAGGGUGCAAGCGUUAAUCGGAAUUACUGGGCGUAAAGCGCGCGUAGGUGGUUCAGCAAGUUGGAGGUGAAAUCCCCGGGCUCAACCUGGGAACUGCCUCGAAAACUACUGGGCUAGAGUACGGUAGAGGGUAGUGGAAUUUCCUGUGUAGCGGUGAAAUGCGUAGAUAUAGGAAGGAACACCAGUGGCGAAGGCGACUACCUGGACUGAUACUGACACUGAGGUGCGAAAGCGUGGGGAGCAAACAGGAUUAGAAACCCUGGUAGUCC
RNAcentral lists this ribosomal RNA (450 nucleotides) under uncultured bacterium. RNAcentral describes it as "partial 16S ribosomal RNA". It matches the Rfam family "Bacterial small subunit ribosomal RNA", at positions 354 to 796 of the family's 1533-position model. The record is from RNAcentral.